RNAcentral lists this ribosomal RNA (601 nucleotides) under uncultured bacterium. RNAcentral describes it as "bacterial SSU rRNA". It matches the Rfam family "Bacterial small subunit ribosomal RNA", at positions 338 to 961 of the family's 1533-position model. The record is from RNAcentral.
CCUACGGGAGGCAGCAGUGGGGAAUAUUGGACAAUGGGCGCAAGCCUGAUCCAGCCAUGCCGCGUGAGUGAUGAAGGCCCUAGGGUUGUAAAGCUCUUUUGUGCGGGAAGAUAAUGACGGUACCGCAAGAAUAAGCCCCGGCUAACUUCGUGCCAGCAGCCGCGGUAAUACGAAGGGGGCUAGCGUUGCUCGGAAUCACUGGGCGUAAAGGGUGCGUAGGCGGGUCUUUAAGUCAGGGGUGAAAUCCUGGAGCUCAACUCCAGAACUGCCUUUGAUACUGAGGAUCUUGAGUUCGGGAGAGGUGAGUGGAACUGCGAGUGUAGAGGUGAAAUUCGUAGAUAUUCGCAAGAACACCAGUGGCGAAGGCGGCUCACUGGCCCGAUACUGACGCUGAGGCACGAAAGCGUGGGGAGCAAACAGGAUUAGAUACCCUGGUAGUCCACGACCGUAACGAUAGAUGCAGCGUAGUGGUUACGUCACUAGUGGCGCNGCUACGUACUUAAGUCAUUCCGCCGUGGGAGGUACGGUCGCGAGAGUUAAACUUAAAUAGUAGUUGACGGUCGUUGAGAGUUGCCGACGGCGACGACGAGGGGAGGUUAGG